This 186-nucleotide unclassified non-coding RNA is filed under the name uncultured fungus. Its description in RNAcentral is "sequence contains ITS1, 5.8S rRNA gene". The record is from RNAcentral. Lineage: Eukaryota; Fungi.
UUAAUUUAUUUGCUUGUGUUACUCAGAAGAUACUCAUGAAGACAAGAGUUUGGGUCCUCCGGCGGGCGCCUGGGUCCGGGCCCGAGGGCGCCGGGGCGAUCCCGCCGAAGCAACAAUAGGUAUGUUCGCAGGGGUUUGGGAGUUGUAAACUCGGUAAUGAUCCCUCCGCUGGUUCACCAACGGAGA